UCUAACUGAUCUCAUGGGGACGUGGAGAACCUUUUUGUCUAGAUCAGGGAUGGUAAACACCAAUCAGCGCCCUGUCAAAACAGACCACUCGGCUCUACCAAUCAGCAGGACAUGGGUGGGGCCAGAUAAGAGAAUAAAAGCAGGCUGCCCGAGCCAGCAGUGGCAACCCGCUCGGGUCCCCUUCCACACUGUGGAAGCUUUGUUCUUUCGCUCUUUGCAAUAAAUCUUGCUACUGCUCACUCUUUGGGUCCACACUGCUUUUAUGAGCUGUAACACUCACCGCGAAGGUCUGCAGCUUCACUCCUGAAGCCAGCGAGACCACGAGCCCACCGGGAGGAACGAACAGCUCCAGACGUGCCGCCUUAAGAGCUGUAACACUCACUGCGAAGGUCUGCAGCUUCAUUCCUGAGCCAGCGAGACCACGAACCCACCAGAAGGAAGAAACUCCGAACACAUCUGAACAUCAGAAGGAACAAACUCCGGACACGCCGCCUUUAGAGCUAUAACACUCACCGUGAGGUCCGCGGCUUCAUUCUUGAAGUCAGUGAGACCAAGGACCCACCAAUUCCGGACACAUUUUGGCGACCACGAAGGGACUUUUGCCUAUCGCCAAGCGGUGAGACAACUGCCGAAUGGUGAGACCAUCACCUAUCACUGAGCAGUAAGACCAUCACCUAUCGCCGAGCAAAUCGAGGCCAUCAAGCUACAGAUGGCCUUACAAAUGGAACCCCAAAUGAGUUCAACUAACAACUUCUACUGAGGACCCCUGGACCGACCUGCUGGCACUUCCCCUGGCCUAGAGAGUUCUCCUCUGAAGGACACUACAACUGCAGGGCCCCUUCUUCGCCCAUAUCCAGCAGGAAGUAGCUAGAGUGGUCAUCGGCCAAAUUCCCAACAGCAGUUGGGGUGUCCUGUUUAGAGGGGGGAUUGAGAGGUGACAGUGUGCUGGCAGUCCUCACAGCCCUCGCUUGCUCUCGGCACCUCCUCUGCCUGGACUCCCACUUUGGCGGCACUUGAGGAGCCCUUCAGCCCACUGCUGCACUGUGGGAGCCCCUUUCUGGGCUGGCCAAGGCGGGAGCCAGCUCCCUCAGCUUGCAGGGAGGUGUGGAGGGAGAGGUGCGAGCAGGAACUGGGGCUGCGUGCAGCGCUUGCAGGCCAGCUGGAGUUCCGGGUGGGCGUGGGCUUGGCGGGUCCCCCACUCAGAGCAGCCGGCCGGCCCUGCCGGCCCCAGGCAAUGAGGGGCUUAGCACCCAGGCCAGUGGCUACGGACGGUGUACUGGGUCCCCCAGCAGUGCCAACCCACCAGCACUGCGCUCGAUUUCUCACCAGAGCUUAGCUGCCUUCCCGCGGGGCAGGGCCCCAGACCUGCAGCCCGCCAUGCCUGAGCCUCCCACCCCCUCCAUGGGCUCCUGUGCUGCCUGAGCGUCCCCGACGAGCACCACCCCCUGCUCCACGGCGCUCAGUCCCAUCAACCACCCAAGGGCUGAGGAGUGCAAGCGCACGGCACGGGACUGGCAGGCAGCUCCACCUGCAGCCCUGGUGCAGGAUCCACUGGGUGAAGCCAGCUGGGCUCCUGAGUCUGGCGGAGAUGUGGAGAAGCUUUAUGUCUAGCUCAGGGAUUGUAAACACACCGAUUAGCACCCUGUGUCUAGCUCGAGGUUUGUGGAUGCACCAAUUCACACUCUGUAUCUAGCUGCUCUGUUGGGGCCUUGGAGAACGUUUGUGUCCAUACUCUGUAUCUAACUGAUCUGAUGGGGACGUGGAGAACUUUUAUGUCUAGCUCAGGGAUGGUAAACACCAAUCAGUGCCCUGUCAAAACAGACCACUCGGCUCUACCAAUCAGCAGGACAUGGGUGGGGCCAGAUAAGAGAAUAAAAGCAGGCUGCCCGAGCCAGCAGUGGCAACCCGCUCGGGUCCCCUUCCACACUGUGGAAGCUUUGUUCUUUCGCUCUUUGCAAUAAAUCUUGCUACUGCUCA
Long non-coding RNA from Symphalangus syndactylus (siamang), 1977 nucleotides. RefSeq lists it as uncharacterized. Lineage: Eukaryota; Metazoa; Chordata; Mammalia; Primates; Hylobatidae. The record is from RefSeq and is a predicted model, not a curated record.